AGGCUCACGGCUUCCAGGGCUUUGUGACAGCGUUGGCCAGCAUCUGCAGCAGUGCAGCCAUCGCAUGGGGGCGCUAUCACCACUACUGCACCCGUAGCCAGCUGGCCUGGAACUCAGCCAUCUCUCUGGUGCUCUUCGUGUGGCUGUCUUCUGCCUUCUGGGCAGCUCUGCCCCUUCUGGGUUGGGGUCACUAUGACUAUGAGCCACUGGGGACAUGCUGCACCCUGGACUACUCCAAGGGGGACAGAAACUUCACCAGCUUCCUCUUCACCAUGUCCUUCUUCAACUUUGCCAUACCCCUCUUCAUCACGAUCACGUCCUACAGUCUCAUGGAGCAGAAACUGGGGAAGAGUGGCCAUCUCCAGGGACACCAGGGAAUAUGAACAAUGUGACAGACAGCAACCAGGGGUUUUCUGCGUUUUCAGUGAUCAAGAGAAAAUCCAGCUUGUGCACAGCAUAGGAUGUUAGAACUGGAAACCACCCUCCCUUUGCUCAGAUCGCCAAGGCCUGGGGAGCAAGGAUCAGGACUGCUCAGAUUCACCCAGACCCCGUAACUCUGGGGACCAGGGCUCCCUACUGGACACAUCCGUGCUGUUCCACUUAACUCUUGCCAAGGAUGUGAGGUUUGGCACAAAGUUACAGGCUUUUUAAAUGCUACUUUUAAACCGC
Molecule: small RNA, 669 nt
Filed under: Pan troglodytes (chimpanzee)
Lineage: Eukaryota; Metazoa; Chordata; Mammalia; Primates; Hominidae
Description: processed transcript
Source: RNAcentral